GACGAACGCUGGCGGCGUGCCUAAUACAUGCAAGUAGAACGCACAGUUUAUACCGUAGCUUGCUACACCAUAAACUGUGAGUUGCGAACGGGUGAGUAACGCGUAGGUAACCUGCCUGGUAGCGGGGGAUAACUAUUGGAAACGAUAGCUAAUACCGCAUAAUAUUAAUUAUUGCAUGAUAAUUGAUUGAAAGAUGCAAUUGCAUCACUACUAGAUGGACCUGCGUUGUAUUAGCUAGUAGGUGAGGUAACGGCUCACCUAGGCGACGAUACAUAGCCGACCUGAGAGGGUGAUCGGCCACACUGGGACAGAGACACGGCCCAGACUCCUACGGGAGGCAGCAGUAGGGAAUCUUCGGCAAUGGACGAAAGUCUGACCGAGCAACGCCGCGUGAGUGAAGAAGGUUUUCGGAUCGUAAAGCUCUGUUGUAAGAGAAGAACGGGUGUGAGAGUGGAAAGUUCACACUGUGACGGUAUCUUACCAGAAAGGGACGGCUAACUACGUG
RNAcentral lists this ribosomal RNA (505 nucleotides) under uncultured bacterium. Its description in RNAcentral is "partial 16S ribosomal RNA". It matches the Rfam family "Bacterial small subunit ribosomal RNA", at positions 28 to 507 of the family's 1533-position model. The record is from RNAcentral.